RNAcentral lists this ribosomal RNA (500 nucleotides) under uncultured bacterium. RNAcentral describes it as "bacterial SSU rRNA". It matches the Rfam family "Bacterial small subunit ribosomal RNA", at positions 29 to 523 of the family's 1533-position model. The record is from RNAcentral.
AUUGAACGCUGGCGGCGUGCCUAACACAUGCAAGUCGAGCGGUAACAGGUGUAGCAAUACAUGCUGACGAGCGGCGGACGGGUGAGUAACGCUUGGGAAUCUGCCUGUUAGUGGGGGACAACCCGGGGAAACUCGGGCUAAUACCGCAUACGCACUACGGUGGAAAGCCGGGGACCGCAAGGCCUGGCGCUAACAGAUGAGCCCAAGUCGGAUUAGCUAGUUGGUAGGGUAACGGCCACCAAGGCGACGAUCCGUAACUGGUCUGAGAGGACGACCAGUCACACCGGAACUGAGACACGGUCCGGACUCCUACGGGAGGCAGCAGUGGGGAAUAUUGGACAAUGGGCGAAAGCCUGAUCCAGCGACGCCGCGUGGGUGAAGAAGGCCUGCGGGUUGUAAAGCCCUUUCGGUGGGGAAGAAAGCCUCGAGUUAAUACCUCGGGGUCUUGACGUAACCCAUAGAAGAAGCACCGGCUAACUCUGUGCCAGCAGCCGCCGUAA